RNAcentral lists this long non-coding RNA (940 nucleotides) under Marmota monax (woodchuck). Lineage: Eukaryota; Metazoa; Chordata; Mammalia; Rodentia; Sciuridae. The record is from RNAcentral.
AAAAAGCACUCUACCCCUGAGCUAUAAUCUCAGCCCUUCCAUUUGCCUCUUAAACCACUUAAUUUUUUGCCUGCCAUUAGAAUCUAGGUUGAGAAAUAACGGUAUAGUUUCCCACUGAAAUAUCUAAACAUGCUGAUCAUGGUGGCACAUGCCUAUAUUCCCAGCUACUUGAGAGGCUGGGGUAGGAGGUGCCAGUCACCAGGAAAUUCCAGGCCAGCCUUGGCAAUUUAGCGAGACCUAAUAAUAAUUUUUUUAAAGUGGGGAGACUGGGGAUGUAGUGCAGCACUUGCCUAGCGCAUGUGAGGCCUUGGGUUCAAUCCCAGCACCACAGAAACAAAACAAAAAACACUCUUUGUGUUCAAUCCCCUCCACCCCUACUGGGACAACAAACAAAAAAAACUCAUUCCCUAGAACUCCUUUCCUAUCCAGCUAGCGCCCAUUCCUCAGCCACAAUUUAGAGUGAACUUCUCCAGUUAGCCCCUUUCCCUACAUUUCAGUGCACCGCCUUGCAAUGUAACCUGCUCUCCAAGGUCACCCUUCUUAAGUUUCCUUGCCCCUCCCAUAACAGCACCGGGUUGCAGUGUUUUCUUCUCUGCCUCUGAGAGCCCGCUCACAUUUCCUCACCCUUGGCAGUCUGCCAGCCACAGCUGAUUGUCAUAUUUCUAUCUCCUGUCACAGCUCCUGACUUUCAUGUGCCACGGCUUACCUGCCCUAUUCUCCAUAAAUAUAUGGAUAGUUAAUAUGCAAAUCAAAUGAAAUUCAUGUAGAACAGGACCCCUGAACCUACCAUGCACCUAGCCAGCUGCUCUAGACCUGAGAAUCACUCCAUCCAUCUACAUGGAAUCCUCCAGGAAAUUUUGUUGCCUCUACCUUCAAAACUGAAUUUGUCAGUCAGGCAUGGUGGCACAUACCUGGAAUCCCAGCGACUUGGGAGGCUGAG